UAAACUUUUAUUUUUGUCUAAGCCGGAGAUUUUGUUGUUGUUACAGGUGUACUGAGAAUUUUAGCAUUGGAAAGAAUUCAGGGCAUUGCCCUUCCAUCCUGGUUCAAUUGAGCACAAGAUUAUAACAGCAAUUAAUUAUCAAGAGUAAAAGUUAGUGAAUAUGCUGAAGCAAAAACAGGCCAGUUUGUGAUGUUCCCCAACACUUUCCAAAAUAUAAAUCAACAUCUCAUUGGUUUCAGGGCAUUUGAGGACAGCGACUCAUGUCCUCGUGGUCCAACCUCGAAUAUAAUGCUUAGAGGGUAUACAUGAAUGGUGGCUUUGUUGCACCAAAGCAAAGAAUGCAUCCUCAGUUGUAAGUGGCUAAACGGAUUGUACAUGUAGAGGAAAGGUCGACUGAGGAUCGCUCUGUGUAUCCAGCCAUAUGGGAAGUGAUGGAUCAACGUCUGUGACUUGUCUGGACAACACACACUUCCCAGUAGGAGUUCAUAGAAAAUAUUUUAUUGGGCAAAGAUUUGUCACCAUGACAAGAUCUGGCUUGCUUUCUUGGUCAUUCUGUAAAUAUGUUUGCCCUUUUGUAUUUCUGUAAUUUCAGCUAUUUUAUCUUGCAAAACCCUUUGUAUCCCUGUGUUGAGUAUGAGUGGUAUAAAUAGAAGAUUAUCUUCAUGAUACAAGCACUGAUGUUCAUUAACCAAGUUCCUACUCAGGGAAAGGACUAAAACAUCUUCACUGAAGGCAGAAUUGAGCAUAGUCUACCUUGACUAUACAGAAUGUGAGUCAAUAAAUAUGCAAAGUCAAUAUAAACACACAUUGCAACACUCAACCUUUCACUACACGUUAUCUGUGGAAAAGUACCAGGGUACACCGUGUCACCACGGCAGAUUCCCCUGUUGUUUUACAGCAAAGCCUCAGUCAGGAGGAGGAGGCGGCGGUGCGGGUCUGCACAGAAACAAAAGGUGUGGUGCGUGUGUGUGUGUGUGUGAGUGUAUGUUUUUUGUGUGUAUGUGUGUGAAAGGGAAGUUAUUGAUGUGAUCCUGGGUGCCUCUCCAGUGGUUUAGCUUUGGAAAUGUGUCUUUACAAUAGAGCAGCUGGGAAAAUUUGGAUGAGGAAAAUGAAUGAGAACGUCUUUCACCUCAACAACUGUCCCGACAGCCGCUACUGACGGGGGAAACAGAAGAAGACUGUUGUUGCACUGGGCUGCUCCCACAGGUCAACGUGGAGGUGUAUUUUGCUGAAAAAGUGUGUUUUCUGAAAAAAAAAACAUGCAGGUUGUCCUGUUGAAGGAUUUGCAGCCAUGGGAGAGUUAUUUGUAGUAACUUGUUAUUUGUAGUUAUGAUAACGUUUGCACACAUUUUAAAGGGUUAUAAAAACAGUACAUAUUUGUCUAUCUCUGUGUCUGUGUUUUAUACAUACCACAUACUGUACAUACUUUAGCAUCAUGGAAGUGCCAGCAUUGCCAACACAUGUAUAUGCAUUCCAUCUUGCUCGAUAUCAGAAGAUAUGUUUUAAAUUUUUUUAAAUAUUUGUCUUGUAUCACUGCAGUCAGUUGUUUCCUUAUUUCUUGGUUUCCCCAACAAUAUGCUUUUUUGCUCACUGGCAUGACAAAACCCUUAGGUUAGAUUUUUUCUCUUUUUCCCAGAGACACUGCUAAAACGUAACUCAAACCAAAGUGGUUGUGUGAAUGUCACUGAAGUAUAAACAGUGGCUGAUGCUGGAAGGCAGCCCGUUGGUUUUUGUGAAUGCUUGCUCAACAUUUUGUAAACAAUGAAUGCAGGAGAAAUGCUAAUGUGGGAUUGCGGAAUCCAAAGCUCACUUUAACAUUCUUGUGAAUGAGGUGAAAAUAUAAUUGAGGGAAAAAUGUCAUUAGGUGAUGUGCUGCCAAAAUGUUUUCUUCAGAGAGUAUUGGAGAACUACAGGAAACAGGUGGGUAAAAGUUACUAUUUUGUUUGCAUAUUUGGCCCACUGUACAUUUUUGGACUGUGAGGGCCUUGUUUAGCAUAAUGUACAUGUUUGAUAUUAUGUCACUAAAAAUGCAAGUGCAUUUUAAACAAAUAUUAACAGUUUUUAAAAUGAAGUGUGCUGUAAUUCAAGUCACCUUAUUCUUGUUUAAUAUCAAUAUAAAUCAAUAAUGUAAUUUAGACAAAUAUGGUGUUUACCACCGAGCAAAACAUAAUAUGUGCAAACUUAAUUGAUGAUAAAAAGGGUCACAUGUCAGAAUGAGAGGUUAAACAUGUUCCAGUAGAUUUUGUGAUGGGAUUAUAUUAUAUUGUUGUAUUCUAUUAAGUGCAAGCAAGAUCCAGACCACACAACAACCCACCAAAGGUAUCAAAACCUCCAAUAGAGUUGACAGAACAAAAAAAGUUGACACAAAGGAUGGAUUGUAUUCCCUGCAUGCUAUUGUCUGAUAUAUAUUUGACAUGUUUUUAUUGUGUCUACUCCCUAAGCACUUCAUCAAAGUGCCAUCUUGUGUGUGUAAUUGUAGUCAGGUGACCUCCUUCGAGACAUACUGUAAUUGCUGUGCAGUGAUUCAUUCAUAUAAAAUAUUUAUAUCAUUUCACUUUGAAGAUUCCCCCCCACAGAGAUUUAUUUCAUUGACUAACUGUGUGUGUAAUAGUAAAAUUAAUAAUAAUAUGCAACAUGAUUUUCACAUAGUUUACAAUUUCUGAAAAAAGCAACCCACUUUAUGAAAGGUGGGUGCACUCAAUCCUGCAAAGGGCAGAGAAGCUGGUGAUUGUACCUUUGAGGUUAGGACAUAAUACUAUUAGUUGUUGUCUGGCUGCCAGCUGCAGCCACUGAGGCACUUGUCAUAUGACCAACACGGUCAUUAGCAGCUAAUUCAGAUGCGAUGUGUGACAGAACUUAGUGACCUCUGAAGAAGCCGGAGGUUCCUCUCACCUCAUGCUGGUGAGUCAGUGAAAAAAUGUCUUUCAUAGUAGUAACUUUAAAUGGGUUUGGCAGCAAAAGGAUUUGACUCAAGAUGCCAGAAGUCUGCAUACCAAAGAAAGGAGAAGUAGGAACACAGCUCUGAGGACAAGAGCUAAGGUUAUACAACAGAUUUUUGUUUGCCUUUAUUUCAAAGACCAAUAUUACUGCAGGUAAUUUAAGCUAAGGGACUGGAUUUGGGUGAAUAAAAGAACAAUUGUAACACCCUCUCCACAGUAUCUCAAAUUAAAAUAACAUUAUUGACUUGGUUUAUUUUGUAUUAAUGACUAAAACUGUGCAUCAAAGUAUUUAAGAUAGUGUACUCUAAUUCAAAAAUGUUCAUGUAUAACACAAGGCUAUGUCCCUUUUUCAAAAACAUGAAAUUAUUGGACAAAUGAUAAGUGUAACAUCCUGGUGAUUGAAGACAUUGACAAGGACGAGGGAAUUACAAUAACCAUAAUCACCAGCUUUUCUUUUGAAAUGCUGAUAAGAGUAGGAAAAAAUUUAAUUAUGUUGUAACCAUAGUAAUCGCUCCCCCAGUGCUACCUCUGUAUAAUGUCUGACAUUUCUACUUUAAAUAUCUUUUCUUACUGACAAACAUCUCCCCUGUUCUUGUUGCCUGUGGAAAUCACUGUCAGGUUCAGCUGCCUGCUGGUAACCAGAAGGAAAGCAUUUCAUGCAUGCUCACACCACAGAUCUGCCCUCAACCUUAAGCAGGGGAUUGCAUUUGAAAGAUGAAACAAACAACAACAUUGCAUGUUGUUAAUAUGCAAGCUAUCCAGUGAUGUCAUUAGAUGUGUCCGGGAGAUGAGCCUAGCAGCAUGCUAACAGUGGACAAGUGCAUCAUUAGGGUCGUCUCUUAGUUACCCCUGUUCAUACCUAACACUGUGACAUAUUGCUAUUGUGAUGGAAAUAAUCACUUUUCUGAAACAUAAAUCCUUUUCUUCCUGACAGCUUUAGUACAAGCAAAAAUGUUUGACUGUGAGUCCUUGUUUCCCCCACUCUGUUUGAAGUGCCAGCUCCUGAGAGAAGAGCUAGGGAGUCGACAAAGGAGACGGUGCAUUAUUCUUUCACUAAAGCACAUUUGGAUUAUGAGUGUUGUUUGGGUUUCAACAUUUUCGGUUGCUCCAACAACUUCUGAUUUAUUGUAGGUUUUAAAUCAAAACAGCUUCCCUCAAAAAACAGCUGAGGGACAAAACAGAGCACUGUGUUGUUUCUGCAGUGGAGGUAUUUGAAAACCAAGUUAAUGAAUAAUGGGUAUUUUAAAUAUUUAAACUGCUGCUCAUAAAAUAUGACAUCGCCCAGCAGUGGGUGUCUGCCCCUCUGUGCAGGGUUGUUUGGGAGAUUCACGUGGCACGUUUUUUGCCUGACAGUUAAAAUGUAUGUGCUGUUAGUUUCAGGAAUGCUGGGGAAAAGUGGAAAAAAGGGAGUGUCACUCAGAGCAGAUGUUCUGCUUUUGAUCAUCUAUGGUGCACUGAAACUUUUGAUCUUUUAGUGGUAGCAUUCUACCUUACACACCAAAAUACUAUUGUGUUUUCAAUGUCCAACUUGUUUUGAGGAAACCGAGUGCAGUUUGCUCUACAUACUGUACAAUAGAUAUGCUUGUUUUAUCAAUGAAAUAUUAGGUUACUAUGGUUGUAACAGUAAAUCUAGUGUUUUGCUUUAUAUAUAUUUAUCUAUAUUUUUUAGUAAAACUAGGCUUGGAAUUUUUUUUCUUUUUAGCAUGAUUUUCUUGAUGGAACAAAAAAAAUUGUGGUCUUUUUCAAUUUGUUCAAAAUUUGUUUAAUUUGUGGUAAUUGCAAUGUCCCUUUACAUUUCCUGUUUACAACACUUAAAAGAAUAUUUUGACAUUCCGGGAAAUAUGCUUAUUUACUUUCUUGCCACGUCUGUCUCAUGUACGAUAAAUAUGGAGCUACAGCCAGCAGCACCUCUGUACAUGUAGCAAAAUCUACCCAGCAGCAGUAGCUUAUCACACAGAGUAGUUCAUGGUCAUUCAGCGCACCGAGCUGCAUAUUGGCACAAUACUCCUGGAGAAAAGGCAGUGUGACAGCAGCUAUAGACAGGUUCACCGAGAGACAGCUUCACCCAGCAUGCUGGAAACUCAGGUUCCUUGGACAACAGGGUGCAGAUCUCAUCAAGUGGAGCAAACCUGGUCAAGGUGCAAUUAUGUAAUAGUACCAGUGUGAUUAACUACCACCCUCAUCAUUUUAUCUCAAAAAUCACAAUUUAAGUUGCCAAAAGCGUAGCGGCUUUUUUGACCUCAUUUGGAUAAGGCACUUUAACUGGUUUAUGUAUAUAACAAUUCAGUUUUAUUUUGCUGAGGACAGUGGGAGAGAGCAGGAGAUAAAGACAACACACAGUAGCACAAUGCAACCAUAGAUCCAGACUCCACAGCUCCGGAGCCAGAAACACCUGCAGGAAGCGAAAGAAGGAGAGAGGAGAGGGGCGAGAAAGUACAAACUACUACGGGAGAGGGAAGAAGUCCAGACCUGUAUGCCUCCAGGACUCUGAGGCGUGCGGGGAAAAUUGCGGGUGACCCCACCUAUCCAGGACACAAACUGUUUCAGACUCUCCCCUCUGGCAGGAGGGUGCGGUCCAUCAGGACCAAAACCUCUCGCCACAAGAACAGUUUCUUUCCGAUGGCAGUGGGCUGCCUCAACAAUGCCUGGGUCCCCACUGUCACUGACUCUCCUGCCCCCCUCCCCAAACACACACACUCACACACACUCCUGACCUCACACUUUACAACAACGCUCAACUGUGCUUUAUGCUCAUGUUGCGAACUUUUGCGCAUACUUGUUUAUUGUAUUGUAGUAUUAUUGUAUUUUUUUGUAUACUUGUAAAUUUUUUGAUUUCCUUACUUUUUAAAUUUUGUAUAUUUAUAUUUAUAUUUAUGUUCAUGUGUACUUUAAGCACCAGUUUAUUUGAAAAUGUACCUAGCAAUAAACUUUCUGAUUCUGAUACUGAUUCACUGUCUGCUUCGUAAAGAAGACUAAAAACAUCUUUUUUCACAAGCUUUUUGUUAGGCUUAAAGUGUGUGGAAAUGUGUUUUAUUUUAGAUUCAGUGUUAAAUAUUUUUAUAAUAGUACCUUAUUAUCUUGUUCCUUUUUUAUUGUAAUGCCUUCUUAUCUUAUAUGUUGCAUAUUACAGUCAAUUCUUUACUUUAUUGGCAUGGAGAUAGUAAAAAAAGUACACUACAUCGGGUGUACAGUCGUAGCAAGACUCAGAACAAACAGAUUACCGGCCCUCACAGACAAAUAGUCUUCUUGUGUAUUUUUAAUGCAUUUCAGCUUGAAUGAGAAACGACAUGAGAUGUUUACAUUUCCAAAGCAAGUAUUAAAUAAACAUGUAUAUAAAGAGAAUAAUUAAUUAGCAAGAAAACAUAGAAAAAACGCAUUUUGUGUGUGUGUGUGUGUGUGUGUGUGUGUGUGUGUGUGUGUGUGUGGUUGUGGCAUGUUAAUACAUAAUGGGCAGCAAGAUUUAAAUGUUCCUUCACAUUUUAGGAGUUUUAUUUGUUUUUCUCCGAUUGGUGUUUGGAAAGCAGUGUUGUUGUGAGACUGGUCGGAGUGUGUUGGCUCUUAGUAGACUCUUUUCUGGGCUCAGCUCUUGGGUUUGGAGGACUUUUCAAUUGAGGAAGUCUAGGGGGCUGAACUUAAGGUGAUUAAAACAUGUGAGUGCUCUCUUCUGAAAGUUAAUUAUCAGUGGGUAUCUGCCUAAUUCUGCUCUGCAAGCAUUUGUUGGUGUUUUUCUGUGUACAUGUAAAAUGCACAUAAAGAUUCUGCUGAUGCUGUUGUUCUGAUGUUUAUCAGCUAUGAUGACUGAGUGGAGCCCAUACUUCAACCCUAUACAGCACAAUGGGCUGGAUGAUGCAAUCAAAUAUUUUAAGACAAAUAUUAAUUGGAAUUUGUAAAUGAUAAAAUAUUCUUUUAAUUGCAUUUAGAGCUCUUUACUGCCAUGUUGAAACUCUCUGAUGCUGUCAUGGUUAUAUCAAGGUAGGCAAACUCGUACUAUGUUCAAUUAUAUAAUUAUUUUUGCUAAACUUGUAUUUGUUCUCCUGACAUCUGGGGCGUUUGAAAAAUCAUGACAUUCAUUUUCUUUAUUUUAUGCUAGGGCCCAGUUCUGACAGGACUUUACCUCUAUGUCCAGCUGUAGUCCUUGUUCUGUAUGAGACAAAAAAGGUCAUCAUCAUUAUAUAUAUUGUACUAUGAAUAAAGCUGGACUUUAAUUGCAGCUGUGACAAACACCUCUUUUCCAAAUACACUGAUUUAAGCAUAUUGUAUACAUUUUGCCCCUAUGUAGAAGUCUGUAACAAAGCCCUUCAUACCAAAUAAAGUCAAAAGCGUACUUGUAAUCAAUAAAACAACUGAAUAUCUUAA
This is a long non-coding RNA of Micropterus salmoides (largemouth bass), 7295 nucleotides long. RefSeq lists it as uncharacterized. The record is from RefSeq and is a predicted model, not a curated record. The transcript has 3 exons. NCBI's taxonomy places the organism in Eukaryota, Metazoa, Chordata, Actinopteri, Centrarchiformes, Centrarchidae.